Molecule: ribosomal RNA, 721 nt
Filed under: Corynebacterium pseudodiphtheriticum
Lineage: Bacteria; Bacillati; Actinomycetota; Actinomycetes; Mycobacteriales; Corynebacteriaceae
Description: partial 23S ribosomal RNA
Rfam family: Bacterial large subunit ribosomal RNA
Source: RNAcentral
AUUUUCAGUGGCGAGCUUAACCGAAUAGGGGAGGCGUAGCGAAAGCGAGUCUUAAUAGGGCGUCUAGUCGCUGGGAAUAGACCCGAAACCGGGCGAUCUAUCCAUGGGCAGGUUGAAGGUUGGGUAACACUAACUGGAGGACCGAACCGACUACCGUUGAAAAGUUAGCGGAUGACCUGUGGAUCGGAGUGAAAGGCUAAUCAAGCUCGGAGAUAGCUGGUUCUCCUCGAAAGCUAUUUAGGUAGCGCCUCAUGUAUCACUGUAGGGGGUAGAGCACUGUUUCGGCUAGGGGGUCAUCCCGACUUACCAAACCGAUGCAAACUCCGAAUACCUACAAGUGCCGAGCAUGGGAGACACACGGCGGGUGCUAACGUCCGUCGUGAAAAGGGAAACAACCCAGACCGUCAGCUAAGGUCCCAAAGUUAUGGUUAAGUGGGAAACGAUGUGGGAAGGCUUAGACAGCUAGGAGGUUGGCUUAGAAGCAGCCACCCUUUAAAGAAAGCGUAAUAGCUCACUAGUCGAGUCGGCCUGCGCGGAAGAUGUAACGGGGCUCAAACCAUACACCGAAGCUACGGGUAUCACGUAAGUGAUGCGGUAGAGGAGCGUUCUGUAAGCCUGUGAAGGUGAGUUGAGAAGCUUGCUGGAGGUAUCAGAAGUGCGAAUGCUGACAUGAGUAACGACAAUGGGUGUGAAAAACACCCACGCCGAAAGACCAAGGUUU